Spinacia oleracea (spinach) is the source of this 299-nucleotide long non-coding RNA. RefSeq lists it as uncharacterized. The record is from RefSeq and is a predicted model, not a curated record. The transcript is spliced from 2 exons. Lineage: Eukaryota; Viridiplantae; Streptophyta; Magnoliopsida; Caryophyllales; Amaranthaceae.
UUUUAGGCGGAGAAUUCUCUGUAGGCGACUUUUGAAUUAUUAAAGUGGUCUUGCAGUUUGUUUACACAAGUCUCUAAGGAUCAAUAAGCAUUGUCCAUCUGCAGGUUUGAAGAUGUUGCAUCAUUGGGAUCGGGAAUAGAGAGCUUGUAUUUAGUUUUGAUUUGCUAAGUUGACUUGGGUUUGUUUAAAUGGACUUUAAACUUGUCAUACUAUUUAUAUUUCCUUAUUUUCGUUGGUUGAUUUUUGAGACUAAACCUGUAAUCGAUUAUUUAUAAACCUAAAGUUAGUUUUAUGUUUUC